Molecule: ribosomal RNA, 743 nt
Filed under: uncultured bacterium
Lineage: Bacteria
Description: bacterial SSU rRNA
Rfam family: Bacterial small subunit ribosomal RNA
Source: RNAcentral
AGUGGCGGACGGGUGAGUAACACGUAGGUAACCUGCCCCGGAGCGGGGGAUAACAUUUGAAAACAGAUGCUAAUACCGCAUAACAACAAAAGCCACAUGGCUUUUGUUUGAAAGAUGGCUUUGGCUAUCACUCUGGGAUGGACCUGCGGUGCAUUAGCUAGUUGGUAAGGUAACGGCUUACCAAGGCGAUGAUGCAUAGCCGAGUUGAGAGACUGAUCGGCCACAAUGGAACUGAGACACGGUCCAUACUCCUACGGGAGGCAGCAGUAGGGAAUCUUCCACAAUGGGCACAAGCCUGAUGGAGCAACACCGCGUGAGUGAAGAAGGGUUUCGGCUCGUAAAGCUCUGUUGUUGGAGAAGAACGUGCGUGAGAGUAACUGUUCACGCAGUGACGGUAUCCAACCAGAAAGUCACGGCUAACUACGUGCCAGCAGCCGCGGUAAUACGUAGGUGGCAAGCGUUAUCCGGAUUUAUUGGGCGUAAAGCGAGCGCAGGCGGUUGCUUAGGUCUGAUGUGAAAGCCUUCGGCUUAACCGAAGAAGUGCAUCGGAAACCGGGCACCUUGAGUGCAGAAGAGGACAGUGGAACUCCAUGUGUAGCGGUGGAAUGCGUAGAUAUAUGGAAGAACACCAGUGGCGAAGGCGGCUGUCUGGUCUGCAACUGACGCUGAGGCUCGAAAGCAUGGGUAGCGAACAGGAUUAGAUACCCUGGUAAUCCAUGCCGUAAACGGUGAGUGCUAGGUGU